Molecule: transfer RNA, 71 nt
Filed under: Camelus bactrianus (Bactrian camel)
Lineage: Eukaryota; Metazoa; Chordata; Mammalia; Artiodactyla; Camelidae
Also listed under: 2 other names
Rfam family: tRNA
About the family: Transfer RNA (tRNA) molecules are approximately 80 nucleotides in length. Their secondary structure includes four short double-helical elements and three loops (D, anti-codon, and T loops). Further hydrogen bonds mediate the characteristic L-shaped molecular structure. tRNAs have two regions of fundamental functional importance: the anti-codon, which is responsible for specific mRNA codon recognition, and the 3' end, to which the tRNAs corresponding amino acid is attached (by aminoacyl-tRNA synthetases). tRNAs cope with the degeneracy of the genetic code in two manners: having more than one tRNA (with a specific anti-codon) for a particular amino acid; and 'wobble' base-pairing, i.e. permitting non-standard base-pairing at the 3rd anti-codon position.
Source: Rfam by way of RNAcentral
GAGUGUAUAGCCCAGUGGUAGAGCACAUGCUUAGCAUGCACGAGGUCCUGAGUUCAAUCCCCAGUACCUCU